AGCAGCCGCGGUAAUUCCAGCUCCAAUAGCGUAUAUUAAAGUUGUUGCAGUUAAAAAGCUCGUAGUUGAAUUUCGGAAUCAGUACGCCGGUCGUGCCUCCGGUAUGUACUGGUGUCACUGGUUCCUCCCUUCUGAAGAACCAUCAUGCUAUUAAUUUAGUGUGGUGGGAAAUCAGGACUGUUACUUUGAAAAAAUUAGAGUGUUUAAAGCAGGCUCACGCUUGAAUACAUUAGCAUGGAAUAAUGAAAUAGGACGUUGAUCCUAUUUUGUUGGUUUCUAGGAUUGACGUAAUGAUUAAUAGGGAUAGUUGGGGGCAUUAGUAUUCAAUUGUCAGAGGUGAAAUUCUUGGAUUUAUUGAAGACUAACUACUGCGAAAGCAUUUGCCAAGGAUGUUUUCAUUAAUCAAGAACGAAAGUUAGGGGAUCGAAGACGAUCAGAUACCGUCGUAGUCUUAACCAUAAACUAUGCCGACUAGGGAUCGGAUGAUGUUAAUUUUUUAAUGUA
RNAcentral lists this ribosomal RNA (504 nucleotides) under uncultured fungus. Its description in RNAcentral is "SSU rRNA". It matches the Rfam family "Eukaryotic small subunit ribosomal RNA", at positions 569 to 1078 of the family's 1831-position model. The record is from RNAcentral. Lineage: Eukaryota; Fungi.